RNAcentral lists this ribosomal RNA (253 nucleotides) under uncultured bacterium. Its description in RNAcentral is "partial 16S ribosomal RNA". It matches the Rfam family "Bacterial small subunit ribosomal RNA", at positions 524 to 776 of the family's 1533-position model. The record is from RNAcentral.
UACGAAGGGGGCUAGCGUUGUUCGGAAUUACUGGGCGUAAAGCGCGCGUAGGCGGAUUUUUAAGUCAGAGGUGAAAUCCCGGGGCUCAACCCCGGAACUGCCUUUGAUACUGGGAAUCUAGAGUAUGGUAGAGGUGAGUGGAAUACCGAGUGUAGAGGUGGAAUUCGUAGAUAUUCGGUAGAACACCAGUGGCGAAGGCGGCUCACUGGACCAUUACUGACGCUGAGGUGCGAAAGCGUGGGGAGCAAACAGG